GAGCACGUAGGUGGGUUUGUAAGUCAGAUGUGAAAGCCUUCUGUUCAACGGAAGAAUUGCAUCUGAAACUGCGAGUCUUGAGUGUAGGAGGGGAGAAUGGAACUUCUGGUGGAGCGGUGAAAUGCGUAGAUAUCAGAAGGAACGCCGGCGGCGAAAGCGAUUCUCUGGCCUAUUACUGACACUCAGUGUGCGAAAACUAGGGGAGCAAACGGGAUUAGAUACCCCGGUAGCCCUAGCCGUAAACGAUGGGCACUAAGUAGAGGGGUUUU
Molecule: ribosomal RNA, 269 nt
Filed under: uncultured Planctomycetales bacterium
Lineage: Bacteria; Pseudomonadati; Planctomycetota; Planctomycetia; Planctomycetales
Description: partial 16S ribosomal RNA
Rfam family: Bacterial small subunit ribosomal RNA
Source: RNAcentral